This is a long non-coding RNA of Acanthopagrus latus (yellowfin seabream), 747 nucleotides long. RefSeq lists it as uncharacterized. The record is from RefSeq and is a predicted model, not a curated record. NCBI's taxonomy places the organism in Eukaryota, Metazoa, Chordata, Actinopteri, Spariformes, Sparidae. The transcript is spliced from 15 exons.
UGAUUGGAGUUUAUUAUUCUGAUAUGACCGAGAACGACCCAGAAGCUGCUCGCUGCACAGGAAUGAGCAGAAUGUGGAGACACUCCUCAUGAGGCUGAUCAGAGAGGAAGACCAUGACCGAUGGGAUGAAGGCCUUCAGCAGCAGAGAGAACUGAGGUGGGAGUUUGUCUGGAUGUUUGAGGAAAGAUGCUACAUGAACAUCUCAGCAUAGCCUUGUCAGAGGACACCUGAAGAGGAAGACUACUGGAGUCGCAUGAUGCUCGACUGCUUCAGCAGCAUGAUGGCGGUGUGGAGGUGUUCUCUCUAAAGGUGCCUGGCUUUGGAAGGCUUGUGCCACCUCUCCAUGUGUUCACCCAGGCUCACGAUCCUGGUGUGAAUGCCGAUCUGGACUUUAAAGAUCAUCGAUGCUGAACUGAGGUCCAACAGAAUCAUCCAAGCUCAUCAGCGAGGAUUGGAGCCCUCCGUCAGCAGCAGACACCAGUGCAGCUACAGGUCCUGGCAUCGCAUGCUUCUGAUCUCACUGUUGGCACAUGUUGGUUUGUUGCUGUCUGAAGUGUCAGGAACAGGAACUUGCCUCUGCUACAGCAUGAAGUCGGCGUCUCGGUCGUGCACACGUUGACAAAUGCUGGCUCCCUAUUGAAGCACCAUCUCUGAUCUUGUGUUGCUGAUGAAGUGUUAAAGAUGCCACCACUUUUGUAAUGAAGCCUUCAAAUGAACUUGAAAUAAAGUACAGUUUUCACUACAGCU